Molecule: ribosomal RNA, 438 nt
Filed under: uncultured Pelagibacterales bacterium
Lineage: Bacteria; Pseudomonadati; Pseudomonadota; Alphaproteobacteria; Candidatus Pelagibacterales
Description: bacterial SSU rRNA
Rfam family: Bacterial small subunit ribosomal RNA
Source: RNAcentral
UCGCGAACUUAAGAAAUUAAGUUCUUCAGUUUGGCUGGACGAAACACAGGUGCUGCAUGGCUGUCGUCAGCUCGUGUCGUGAGAUGUUGGGUUAAGUCCCGCAACGAGCGCAACCCUUACUUUUAGUUGCUAUCAUUUAGUUGAGCACUCUAAAAGAACUGCCAGUGAUAAGCUGGAGGAAGGUGGGGAUGACGUCAAGUCCUCAUGGCCCUUACGAGUUGGGCUACACACGUGCUACAAUGGUAUUUACAAUGGGAAGCAAAGAGGCGACUCCUAGCCAAUCCCAAAAAUAUACCUCAGUUCGGAUUGCACUCUGCAACUCGAGUGCAUGAAGCUGGAAUUGCUAGUAAUCGCGGAUCAGCGCGCCGCGGUGAAUACGUUCCCGGGUCUUGUACACACCGCCCGUCACACCAUGGAAGUUGGUUACACCUUAAGGCA